This 157-nucleotide ribosomal RNA is filed under the name Tetracladium marchalianum. RNAcentral describes it as "5.8S ribosomal RNA". It matches the Rfam family "5.8S ribosomal RNA". Rfam says of the family: 5.8S ribosomal RNA (5.8S rRNA) is a component of the large subunit of the eukaryotic ribosome. It is transcribed by RNA polymerase I as part of the 45S precursor that also contains 18S and 28S rRNA. Functionally, it is thought that 5.8S rRNA may be involved in ribosome translocation. The record is from RNAcentral. Lineage: Eukaryota; Fungi; Ascomycota; Leotiomycetes; Helotiales.
AAAACUUUCAACAACGGAUCUCUUGGCUCUGGCAUCGAUGAAGAACGCAGCGAAAUGCGAUAAGUAAUGUGAAUUGCANAAUUCAGUGAAUCAUCGAAUCUUUGAACGCACAUUGCGCCCCUUGGUAUUCCGAGGGGCAUGCCUAUUCNAGCGUCAU